ACCAACAGGGAUUGCCCUAGUAACGGCGAGUGAAGCGGCAACAGCUCAAAUUUGAAAUCUGGCUCUUUCAGAGUCCGAGUUGUAAUUUGCAGAGGGCGCUUUGGCUUUGGCAGCGGUCCAAGUUCCUUGGAACAGGACGUCACAGAGGGUGAGAAUCCCGUACGUGGUCGCUAGCUAUUGCCGUGUAAAGCCCCUUCGACGAGUCGAGUUGUUUGGGAAUGCAGCUCUAAAUGGGAGGUAAAUUUCUUCUAAAGCUAAAUAUUGGCCAGAGACCGAUAGCGCACAAGUAGAGUGAUCGAAAGAUGAAAAGCACUUUGGAAAGAGAGUCAAACAGCACGUGAAAUUGUUGAAAGGGAAGCGCUUGCAGCCAGACUUGCUUGCAGUUGCUCAUCCGGGCUUUUGCCCGGUGCACUCUUCUGUAGGCAGGCCAGCAUCAGUUUGGGCGGUGGGAUAAAGGUCUCUGUCACGUACCUCUCUUCGGGGAGGCCUUAUAGGGGAGACGACAUACCACCAGCCUAGACUGAGGUCCGCGCAUCUGCUAGGAUGCUGGCGUAAUGGCUGUAAGCGGCCCGUCUUGAAACACGGACCAAGGAGUCUAACAUCUAUGCGAGUGUUUGGGUGUCAAGCCCGAGCGCGUAAUGAAAGUGAACGGAGGUGGGAACCCGCAAGGGUGCACCAUCGACCGAUCCUGAAGUUUACGGAAGGAUUUGAGUAAGAGCAUGGCUGUUGGGACCCGAAAGAUGGUGAACUAUGCUUGAAUAGGGUGAAGCCAGAGGAAACUCUGGUGGAGGCUCGCAGCGGUUCUGACGUGCAAAUCGAUCGUCAAAUUUGGGCAUAGGGGCGAAAGACUAAUCGAACU
This 859-nucleotide ribosomal RNA is filed under the name Bipolaris microlaenae. Its description in RNAcentral is "eukaryotic LSU rRNA". It matches the Rfam family "Eukaryotic large subunit ribosomal RNA", at positions 64 to 941 of the family's 3401-position model. Lineage: Eukaryota; Fungi; Ascomycota; Dothideomycetes; Pleosporales; Pleosporaceae. The record is from RNAcentral.